ACGGAAUGCCGUGGUGACAUGUUUGUUGAGGAGGUGAUACCCAGGUCCCUUCUGAACGGUUCCUGACUGGAGCAGCAAGAAAUGAGGUAGCUGGAUUUCACAGAGUUUUGGUAACCUUGGAGAAACAAGUUACAGCAACCAUCAGCCCAGGCGACAAAUUUGCAAGCAGGCCAGGGUGCAGGCGGGAGGAUCUGAUCUGAGGUAUUUCUACUGAAAGAAAAUUCUGAAAUUUCAGAAUGGCGGAGUCUUCAAGAAGUGGAAAUACAUUGGUCGGGAGGAAGCGUAAGAUCCCAAACUGCAGAGGUAAAACGAGAAUCGAUGCCAGCUUAGACCUUGCAAAAGAAGUUGAAACAAACAGUAGAGUUUCUUAGCCAUCAAAACUAGAUGAGAGUGAGGAAAGUCACCGUGUCAUUGGCUAGAGGGAGGAUGAGUUUAAGGAUAGCAUAAAUGCUUUCAAAAAAUUAGAUGAUUUUGUGCCUCAGUGUUCAAUUUGGACAAUGACUCUGAACUUGGAUGGCAGAAAAUUGGCUUUAUGGGAGUGAAUUUGGAAGGAUGGAAAUGAUGCCUUUUGAGGUAGAAGUAAAAAUCAAAAUCAAGGAGUGCUGUUUCAGGGGAUCUGCGUCACUGUAGUCUGAAGGAAUUGGCAUUUGAAACUGCAUUUCUGCUUGAAGGAUAUUUAGGAAUAUGUUAAAGUGGGAGUGGUAUGUGAAAUUUCAGGCAUGAUUCCUAUAUUUAAGGUAGGAGAAAACUGUCAUCUAGUUAAGCAUAGGCAUAUUAGCGUGACAUCAGUAGCAUGCAAGGCAUUGCAGUGAUUUUGGAAAGAAGAGCAAUAGAAAACACAGCAAAUGGACGAAGUGGGAUAACACAGUAUCGGUUUACCAAAAGCAGAUUUACUGGAUUAUCUUGAUAAUCUCUCUUUAGAUUAUCCUGAUCUUUUUAGACAAAUAAAAUGGCAAUAGAUGUGAUGUAUAUACACUGUGAGAGAAGCAUCUGACACAGAGCUACACGGAGAAUCAUUUGACUGGAAAAGAUGAAGAUUAGGCCUAGAAUUGUAAAGUGGGUAGGAACUGGCUAAAGCAGAUAACAGAUGAUGCUGAAAGAAGAAAUACCAAGUUAGAGGGAGAUAAAAAUGGAGUUUCUGAAGGCACAGUCUGGGGACCUAUAUCCAUUAAUAUUUUCAUUAAUCAACUAGGCACAAAAAGAAUAAGAACCUGCUAGAGAAAUGUGCUGAUGGUUGAAGUUGGGAGGGAUUGUCAAUAGCAAGGAGGCUCAGAGCAUACAGAAAAAUAGAAUAUCUUCAAGGAUUGGGGAAAUAUAAAUGGUUGAAUGGUUGAACGGUUCAAGUACCAAGGUCAUGUAGCUUGGGACUGAUGACAAUUUCUAAUAUAAGGUAAGGCUUGUCGGUUGAACUGAUACAGGAGAAUAUAGCAUAUAUUUUGGCACUAUUUCAAAAGAGGGAUUUCUAGUCGAGAUAGGGAAGAAUUAGUGACGUGAAGAAAGCUUUGGUAAGACUUCUCCAGGAAUAUGGUGACUAACUGUGACCACCUCUGUUUGAAAGAAAUUCAGCUAGA
Molecule: long non-coding RNA, 1571 nt
Organism: Oxyura jamaicensis (ruddy duck)
Lineage: Eukaryota; Metazoa; Chordata; Aves; Anseriformes; Anatidae
Exons: 3
Source: RefSeq, a predicted model, not a curated record